UGGGGAAUUUUGGACAAUGGGGGAAACCCUGAUCCAGCCAUCCCGCGUGUGCGAUGAGGGCCUUCGGGUUGUAAAGCACUUUUGGCAGGAAAGAAACGUCAUGGGUUAAUACCCCGAGAAACUGACGGUACCUGCAGAAUAAGCACCGGCUAACUACGUGCCAGCAGCCGCGGUAAUACGUAGGGUGCAAGCGUUAAUCGGAAUUACUGGGCGUAAAGCGUGCGCAGGCGGUUCGGUAAGAAAGAUGUGAAAUCCCGGAGCUCAACUUUGGAACUGCAUUUUUGACUACCAGGCUGGAGUGUGUCAGAGGGUGGUUGAAUUCCGCGUGUAGCAGUGAAAUGCGUAGAUAUGCGGAGGAACACCGAUGGCGAAGGCAGCCUCCUGGGAUAACACUGACGCUCAUGCACGAAAGCGUGGGGAGCAAACAGG
Molecule: ribosomal RNA, 429 nt
Filed under: Acidobacteriota bacterium
Lineage: Bacteria; Pseudomonadati; Acidobacteriota
Description: Acidobacteria bacterium partial 16S ribosomal RNA
Rfam family: Bacterial small subunit ribosomal RNA
Source: RNAcentral